GACGAACGCUGGCGGCGUGCUUAACACAUGCAAGUCGAACGGAAAGGCCCUGCUUUUGUGGGGUGCUCGAGUGGCGAACGGGUGAGUAACACGUGAGUAACCUGCCCUUGACUUUGGGAUAACUUCAGGAAACUGGGGCUAAUACCGGAUAGGAGCUCCUGCUGCAUGGUGGGGGUUGGAAAGUUUCGGCGGUUGGGGAUGGACUCGCGGCUUAUCAGCUUGUUGGUGGGGUAGUGGCUUACCAAGGCUUUGACGGGUAGCCGGCCUGAGAGGGUGACCGGCCACCUUGGGGCCUGCGUCGCGCACGAUACUCCUAGGGGGGCCGGUGGGGGGAAACUUUGAACAGGGGGGGGCCCCUUAGCAAGCAACCCCGCGGGGGGGAUGCGCGUCUUUGGGUUUGAAACCGUCUUCCCCGUGUAACGGGCGUGGAUUGCCGUUAGUGGCAAAAGAAGCCCCGGCUAACUCCGUG
RNAcentral lists this ribosomal RNA (469 nucleotides) under uncultured bacterium. RNAcentral's name for it is "partial 16S ribosomal RNA". It matches the Rfam family "Bacterial small subunit ribosomal RNA", at positions 28 to 507 of the family's 1533-position model. The record is from RNAcentral.